Oreochromis aureus is the source of this 1596-nucleotide long non-coding RNA. The record is from Ensembl. NCBI's taxonomy places the organism in Eukaryota, Metazoa, Chordata, Actinopteri, Cichliformes, Cichlidae.
CAUAGUGUUCCCCCCCUCCACCAUUAACAAAUGGUUCAGCCCAUAGCAGGACCGGCUUUUUUCUUGUUUUCAGUAGCAAGCGAUGCUUAUGAUUGUGCCAGAGCACAUUUUGAACAACACCAUGGGAAUUUCGGAUUUUGCACAGCUGGUUGGAUGUUACACUCUGGAAAUGGAAGGAAGAAACUCUGGCUUGUCAGGGCCAAAGAUGCACGACUGUCUCCAUCCAGACUCAGAGCCCAGUGCAAGUCAUCAGGGGAGAAGGACAGCUACAAAUCACAGACAGCAUAUAAAACACAGAGCAGCCACCAAGAACGUGAGGAGGAUUGGCCUGAAAAACCAAGGGACGCUGCACUCUUAUUAGUUAAUAACUGAUCAGUCACAGUAAAACAGAUCCUGUUUUAUCUGUUUUUUUCCUGCAUACAAAUGAUUGUCGUGAUCCCUAACAGGGUUUGGCUUUCUUUGCAAAGGACAGAAAAAUAAAUAUUUUAUUACAAAGUGGGCUUUUAUUUACUCUGGCACAGAUUACUAACAUUAGAAUUUCCAUAUAUGUCCAACAAGGAGUCUGCCCUGGAGCAGACCCAGGACCCACUAGAGAUUUCAUCUCUUAGCUGGCAUGGGAACAGCCCCAAAAGACCUGGAGGAGCUGGGUAGAGAUGGGCCUUUCUGUUUAGACUGCUGCCCACAUGAUCCGGAAAAGUAUUAGAAAAUGAAUAAACAGAUGGAUGCUCACCCUACCAUCAUCGUGCUCAGGAAGUCUUUAAUGUUCUCAAGUGGACAGACUGAAACUACAUCUGUCUCUUAAUUAUGCAAGGACUCAUAAGAUUACACAUCCCCCUCCUACCUAAAGAGUGAGUGCUGAAAACCCCCCAAAUAAUCUUUACCUUUAGGGCUCCACUGAAGCUGAGUGGUUUCACUCAUUCAAAGUCCUGAAAACAAAGAAAAAAGUAGUAAGUAAAGUGUAAAGAAGCUCAGCACUUGUAACACUAGGCUUGGUUUCUCCUCAGAAACUCUGGCUUGUCAGGGCCAAAGAUGCACGACUGUCUCCAUCCAGACUCAGAGCCCAGUGCAAGUCAUCAGGGGAGAGGGGGGGCAGCAAAUCCGCAUACCGCUUAAAAUAAAAGCGAUCAUGCAGUAUUAUUAAGUUACUAAUCACUACAAACCAAAAAUAAUUCAAGUCUUACUGCCUGAUUAUACUUCAAUUACUCCUCACACUGCGAGCUACCAUGCUAAAGGCUGACCACGUGGAGACAGGCCCACGAAGUUACCGAUGGCCAGGUUACUUCCACUGCUAGUAAUGAACCAACAACAGCAUCGCAACCAGCCUAAUUUAUUUCAGAUAUGUUUAAAGGCGCUUUUCUCAAAAUACUUAGAAGAGAACUUAAAAAUUUAAUGUCCGAGCAAAAGGUCGCAACUAUUUCCACCUACAGAUGUGCCGUCAGUCGGACCGCUUCACCUGAAACUGCCACAGGUAAUAACACAAAACAAACCUAAACCUGAGCAACAUUCAUAUUAUGAUCUUACCAUUUCCACCAGAAAACAAAGCGUGCCUCUCGUUCUGCCUCUAGUUCUGCCUCCACUCUCUACUCUCUACUUCCG